Molecule: long non-coding RNA, 230 nt
Organism: Cyprinus carpio (common carp)
Lineage: Eukaryota; Metazoa; Chordata; Actinopteri; Cypriniformes; Cyprinidae
Exons: 3
Source: RefSeq, a predicted model, not a curated record
GAGCCUUUUGUUCCUCCGCCAGAACUGGAUGAUCCUGAGCCGUCACCUGUCCCAGAGUCUUCAGACUGCGCCCCCACUAAUGAAUCCCUUCGCUCUCGCUAUAAAGUGCAAAAGAUUAUUGGAGAAGGAGGCUAUGGCAAGGUGUAUGAGGGAAUCCGUAUUUCUGAUGGCAAAAAGGUUGCCAUCAAACGUAUUCAAAAGACUGUACGGGAUCAGUAUCUUCAAACUGU